AGAUGAGAAAACUGAGUCAUGUAAAGGUGAAGCAGCUUGCCCCAAAUCCUGCAGCGAUUCCACAUAUAGGGAAUAUGUUUCGAUAGGAAGAACCCAGAACGAAGGAAUGCCUCUGUGGAAGAGCCCUUGGAGAUCCUUGAACUCAACUCUCAUUUUCUAGAACAGGAAACCAGAGAAAUUAAAAGUGGGCUUUGCAGGGACAGGGAGAGAGACUUACAGAGAUGGAGUGAGAUACAGAGGCCCCUCGUCUUCUAGGAAAGUGACAAGGCUCUCUGGUGUCAAGCAGGUGACUGUGCUUCAGGCUUUGGCCCCGAGGCUG
Physeter macrocephalus (sperm whale) is the source of this 319-nucleotide long non-coding RNA. RefSeq lists it as uncharacterized. The transcript has 3 exons. NCBI's taxonomy places the organism in Eukaryota, Metazoa, Chordata, Mammalia, Artiodactyla, Physeteridae. The record is from RefSeq and is a predicted model, not a curated record.